Molecule: long non-coding RNA, 505 nt
Organism: Gossypium raimondii (Peruvian cotton)
Lineage: Eukaryota; Viridiplantae; Streptophyta; Magnoliopsida; Malvales; Malvaceae
Exons: 2
Source: RefSeq, a predicted model, not a curated record
UGUUGGGUGUCUUUGCCAUGACAUGUUCGAGGCUAAGCAGCCAAGGGAGGAUGCCUGGAAAAUUGCAAGCUACGUCAAUACUUGUACAGAGAGAUGCGCCAUGAAAAACUGAUGAUAAUCGCCUAUGAACGAAAUUAUAAUAAAAGGCCUUCAAUUACAUUUAGCCUGAAUGAAAAAACCAUAAUUUGAUUGUUGUUGUAUUUUCAAUUUUAUAUUUACUAAAGUAGUAUGAAAAAAAAACAGUAAUAAUACAAUUAUUGCGGUGACCCAAGAAUCAUGUGAUGUUCCUUGUUUGUUGUUUUUGUUGGAUCCUUCAUGUUAUAUUAUUUAAUUGUUUUCCUUAUUUUUGAAGGAUUUUAUAUGCUAAAUGCACCCAAGAAUUUCUUGAUUACUUGUUGUUAUGAGUGCACAGCGCCAAGGCUUCGAGUAUUAUACAAACAAAUAUAUCUCAAUUACAUCUAUUUAUAUGUAAAAAUAAGUUCUAAAUCUAUUAAUUGGUUCAAUA